This 207-nucleotide non-coding RNA is filed under the name Actinoplanes regularis. Lineage: Bacteria; Bacillati; Actinomycetota; Actinomycetes; Micromonosporales; Micromonosporaceae. The record is from RNAcentral.
AUAGUGUCGAUCGCAGCUGGUUCGGCGCGCCUUCGCGGGUGAGCCGAGGCAAGAGGGAAUCCGGUGUGAAACCGGGACUGCCCCGCAGCGGUGAGUGGGAACGACCGCCGUCACCAAGCACUGGACCGUGAGGUCUGGGAAGCGACGGCCAGUAGGUAUUGCACGACGCCCACGAGUCCGAAGACCUGCCAGCGCGCCGCACACGAC